UGGUUGUCGUCAGCUCGUGUCGUGAGAUGUUGGGUUAAGUCCCGCAACGAGCGCAACCCUUGAUCUUAGUUGCCAGCAUUCAGUUGGGCACUCUAAGGUGACUGCCGGUGACAAACCGGAGGAAGGUGGGGAUGACGUCAAAUCAUCAUGCCCCUUAUGACCUGGGCUACACACGUGCUACAAUGGAUGGUACAAAGGGCUGCGAGACCGCGAGGUUUAGCCAAUCCCAUAAAACCAUUCUCAGUUCGGAUUGCAGGCUGCAACUCGCCUGCAUGAAGCUGGAAUCGCUAGUAAUCGCGGAUCAG
Molecule: ribosomal RNA, 305 nt
Filed under: Bacillus sp. Expt1_251E8_P9LY_C09
Lineage: Bacteria; Bacillati; Bacillota; Bacilli; Caryophanales; Bacillaceae
Also listed under: 1 other name
Description: bacterial SSU rRNA
Rfam family: Bacterial small subunit ribosomal RNA
Source: RNAcentral